CCUACCCAUCCACCCGAUCCUUUCAUUUCCUCCUUCCAGCGUCGCCCGUUUUGUUUCCUCUCCCACCCCCUUCUUUCCUUCAAUGUAGUCAGGUCCUCUCCCACCCCCUUCUUUCCUUCAAUGUAGUCAGGUUCUUCCCUCUCUGCAGCAAGCAAGAGGAGCUCAAAGGUAACCUAUUUCUUAUUUCUUCCCUCUUCGCAGCAUCACGCGUUACCUUGCUAGGUGACGAACAAUCGCUUCGCCUAUGGCCGCACUCAGGGGGCCACAGCCUCGCCAAGCUAGUGGUUCGCUAACGGCCGGUUCUCACAUGAACUCAUGUGAGGGAGCCGAUGCCUCGCCAAGCAGUCGAUUCACAAACGGCCGCAUACGAGGGGUGGAUGCCUCGUUGGGUAGUGGCUUGUUGUGAGACUUCUGAAGAUAAACUCUUUGAUGAAAUGCUGAUGUUGGACCAGUCCGAUUUUGCUACCAAAGAAAUUCCUCCUUUGGGCAAGGUUCUUUCAAACAUCAUAAAUUUGACAAUUGAGGACAACGAUUUUGGUUCUUAUGGCUUAUUUAUCCAAGGCUUAGAUUGUAAACUCUAUACUUGUACUAAUGAUGUGAAGAGUUAUGAUGAUGUGGUGAAUGAAUUGAUUGUUUUGGGUGUAAAUUUUUUCUAUUCUAUAUAAUGGGUGAAUUGAAUGUUGUGGAUGUAAAUUUUUUCUAUUCUAUAUAAUGGGUGAAUUGGAA
This is a long non-coding RNA of Zingiber officinale, 726 nucleotides long. RefSeq lists it as uncharacterized. NCBI's taxonomy places the organism in Eukaryota, Viridiplantae, Streptophyta, Magnoliopsida, Zingiberales, Zingiberaceae. The transcript has 2 exons. The record is from RefSeq and is a predicted model, not a curated record.